UAGGGAAUAUUGCAAAAUGGGCGAAAGCCCGAUGCAGCAACGCCGCGUGGGCGAUGAAGGCCUUCGGGUCGUAAAGCCCUUUUUGAGGGGAUGAGGAAGGACAGUACCCUCAGAAUAAGCCUCGGCUAACUACGUGCCAGCAGCCGCGGUAAAACGUAGGAGGCGAGCGUUAUCCGGAUUUACUGGGCGUAAAGCGCGUGCAGGCGGAUUGGAGAGUUGGAUGUGAAAGCUCCCGGCUUAACUGGGAGAGGUCGUUCAAUACUUCCAGUCUUGAGUGCAGUAGAGGGAAGUGGAAUUCCGGGUGUAGUGGUGAAAUGCGUAGAUAUCCGGAGGAACACCAGUGGCGAAAGCGGCUUCCUGGACUGUAACUGACGCUCAGACGCGAAAGCUGGGGUAGCAAACG
This 403-nucleotide ribosomal RNA is filed under the name uncultured bacterium. RNAcentral's name for it is "bacterial SSU rRNA". It matches the Rfam family "Bacterial small subunit ribosomal RNA", at positions 355 to 774 of the family's 1533-position model. The record is from RNAcentral.